Molecule: unclassified non-coding RNA, 148 nt
Organism: Pongo abelii (Sumatran orangutan)
Lineage: Eukaryota; Metazoa; Chordata; Mammalia; Primates; Hominidae
Rfam family: Metazoan signal recognition particle RNA
About the family: The signal recognition particle (SRP) is a universally conserved ribonucleoprotein. It is involved in the co-translational targeting of proteins to membranes.
Source: Ensembl
GCCAGGUGUGGUGGUGUGCAUCUGUAAUCCCAGCUACUUGGGAGGCUGAGACAGGAGAAUCACUUGAACCCUGGAGGUGGAGGUUGCAGUGGGCUGAGAUCGUGCCACUGCACUUCAGCCUGGGUGACAGAGUGAGACUCUGUCUCCA